Molecule: long non-coding RNA, 518 nt
Organism: Folsomia candida
Lineage: Eukaryota; Metazoa; Arthropoda; Collembola; Entomobryomorpha; Isotomidae
Exons: 3
Source: RefSeq, a predicted model, not a curated record
ACGGAGUCAUUCGUCACAGUAGUCAAGCUUCAAGCGCUACUACUACGAGUGUUAAACAAAAUAGUUUCUUCGACAUCCUCAAAAACAGCAGAAACACCCUUCUUUGUCAAAGAGGAAAAACCCCGUAGUAGUUCUUCGUCAAACUCUCGUGCUAAAGUUACUCUGAGCAGCGAUUUUAUGAAAUCUGGCCCCAGUGGGUCCAAAAAGGUGCAGGCAGUAGAGAGAUUACAUUUAACGUGCGGUUAGACACCACAGGGGCUGCGCUGACGGCGAAGCUCGCUGAGUGCGAGACGGUCGACACGUUGAAAACGCUCAUUCAUGCUCAAUUCGAAAUCCCUCCUUGUCAGCAAAAACUAAAAGGAUGGCCAAAAUGUCCAUCUGACGGUGCAAAGUUGGGCUCUUUGGGUCUUCCUGACGAAAUAAACUUGUCUCUUUUCACAAACGGUCCAGCCAUGGACUUUACAGGGGCUGGGACUAGCAGCAGUAGCAAUAGUGUCGGAAAAACUGAAGAUAAAUAU